AGGAUGAACGCUGGCGGCGUGCCUAACACAUGCAAGUCGAACGUCCUGUCUCGCAAGAGGCAGGGAGUGGCGGACGGGUGAGUACCACGUGGGUCAUCUACCGUGAGGUGAGGAAUACCGGCGAGAAAUCGCCGACAAGACCGCAUAGGCUCGAUGCAAGUCGAGCAAAGCUCUUUCGAGAGAGGGAGCGCCACACGAGGAGCCUGCGCCCGAUUAGCUAGCUGGUGGAGUAACGGUUCACCAGGGCGACGAUCGGUAGCUGGUCUGAGAGGACGAUCAGCCACACUGGGAUUGAGAACGGCCCAGACUCCUACGGGGGGCAGCAGUGAGGAAUUUUCGUCAAUGGGGGCAACCCUGAACGAGCAACGCCGCGUGCAGGAAGAAGGUUUCGGAUCGUAAACUGCUUUUCGUCGGGGAAGAGAACGGACGGUACCCGAGGAAUCAGCCCCGGCUAACUACGCGCCAGCAGCCGCGGU
This 476-nucleotide ribosomal RNA is filed under the name uncultured bacterium. RNAcentral describes it as "SSU rRNA". It matches the Rfam family "Bacterial small subunit ribosomal RNA", at positions 26 to 521 of the family's 1533-position model. The record is from RNAcentral.